Ochotona curzoniae (black-lipped pika) is the source of this 2184-nucleotide long non-coding RNA. RefSeq lists it as uncharacterized. Lineage: Eukaryota; Metazoa; Chordata; Mammalia; Lagomorpha; Ochotonidae. The record is from RefSeq and is a predicted model, not a curated record. The transcript is spliced from 4 exons.
UUCCGGCCCCAGUGCUUUCGUGCUGCAGUCCAAAAAAGACAAAUCCAGACUCCGUGGCAAGAAUAAAUUAGAUUAAUGUAAUUCUAUGAAGGACUAUCCUCCGGGAGGCCCAGGAGUCCUCACCGCCAGUUCCUCAGAAACCAAAGAGAAAAGUAAAACUAUUCAAGAAAAAAAAAAAGUGUAUCGAUUUGUCACGUUAGAAUCCAGUGUUUUAUUUUCGUGUUUUCACUACACAAAACAUCCCACGGGCUACACACCAAGCCGCCCCCCCUCCCCGCGGCACUGCGCCUGCGCCGCGGUGUGUUUACGCCGUGGGGCGACUGGCCGGUCCGGCUUCCUGACGUGAUUCUUAAUGAAAAUCAUGUUUUCGUCUUGGAAGGCCAUCCGGAGUUUAAAACAGGACAGGUUACGAACUUGAAGACAGUGAAAAAUCAGAACUUUAAUGAAAGUUUGAGCACUCAGAAAUCGCUGUCAGGGAAAGCGAAGACAGCGCUGCGCUCCCUUCCAGGAGACACGGCAGGCAGCCGCAGGCAGCCCGACGCGCGAGACAUCUGGUCCACUCCCCAAGUGGUUGUGAUGUUGGGGCACUAGGCUGUCUGUGAUAUGGUAUCAGAGAAGGCAUCACCUCAAAAUGCUAGCCCCUGGAUUUUCUUAAUAUAUUCAGUAUGAUAGUAAAAUUCAGUAAGUCUUGUAGUUUGGACAGUCACAUCUAACACGAAAGUGAGGAGUGAAUAAAAUCCUGCUCCAGGUCUAGAGGUACAAUGCUUGGCUGGAAGGAUCGUAACAAGUUAGCUGAACCAGUGUUUACUGAGGCUUUCUUCACGGAGGAAAGGAGAUGUGCAUAAGGUAAAGGAAUUUCUGGACCAUCGUAAUGCUUGACUCCGAAAUAUGGUGACUUUGUUGAGACAGCUAGUGUAAGACGAAGCCUUUCAGUGUACCUGAGAAGAUGGGUCUAGUGAAAAUUAAGACAGAAUUGGAUGAAGAGUUGAUGAAUGACUUUGCAUCCUUUGGCACUCCUGCUGCGUUUAGACUGAUAAGUUUUACUUUAAGAAAAAACUUUUUAAACACUGCAUCCUGUGUCUCCUGUUUCUGCUGGAUGGUGCUGCUUGGGAACCGUCAAUCCCGGAGCCUGGGCUUCUGGAUUGAACGCCGUGUGUGUGUCCACGAGGAUGUUUGUUCCAGUUCACAGCAGUUUCAUCAAAGGUCAUACUAGUCUCGCCUCAUGUCUUCCAUGUCUUCUCUCCACCAAAACCAUCUUUAUCAAAGUGAUCUGGAUGGCCAAGUGCAAUGGUCAGUCCUGUGUUUCUCUUGCCUCUUUGAAGUACUUCCCACUCAGCAGUCAAAACGAUCAAAGUUAAACAGUCAGACUGAAACUCUGUCUGCGAGAGGACUUACCUCAAAUGGAGUAGAAUCCCAUGUUUACUGUGACAUACAAUGUUUUAUGUGACCUGGGCCCCUAUUUCCUCUCAGAUUUCUUCUCUCACCUCUCAGCCCCAACUUGCUGUGUUUCCGGCUUACUGGUUCCCUUAUUGUCCCCAAAUCAACCAGGCACAUUCCUGCCUCAGAGCCUUUGGAUCCGCAAUUUCCUCUGCCCGUAGCAUAGAGAAUGACAUGGUCCCUGCUCUCAUUCCAUUCGAGUUGCUACUCAAAUGUUGCUUUAUCACAGAGGGCUUCCCUUCAUUCCCCCGGCCCCAAAACUCAUUUCUUUUCCAGCACUGAAGCAACAUGACAUCUUUUGCUUGUUUGUGGUGUUUUGCCUGCUUUCCACACUUGAGUGCAAAUUUCCACUCUGUAACACUGGAACUUUGGCUGUCUUUGUCCUCUGCUGUGUCCCUAGAGAGCUUGGUGCCUGGGAAGGACUCAUUAAAAAUUUAAUGAACGAAGAAAUGAAGAAGCACUUAUGUAAGUGAUUAUUCAGAGUAGUCAGAAGCGCAAAGUGAGUGGUUCUCAGCUUUCACCCGGGUAUGUGGGGUCAACUGAAGGCUGAGCUCUGAACCCAGAGUUUUCUCCUUAGUUUUUUCAGCAUGAAUAGUAUGUCGUUAAAGAUGGUAGAUGGGUAGCAGAACCAUUCCAUUGUUCCUGGUUCCAUAUAUUGGUCACUGGUAAUACUAAUAAACUUUCACUUGCUCAGUACAUUUUACUUGGAAACGAACUUUUUUCUCUAAAUAAAAAUGCCUCAUCAAC